RNAcentral lists this ribosomal RNA (495 nucleotides) under uncultured bacterium. Its description in RNAcentral is "partial 16S ribosomal RNA". It matches the Rfam family "Bacterial small subunit ribosomal RNA", at positions 28 to 507 of the family's 1533-position model. The record is from RNAcentral.
GACGAACGCUGGCGGCGUGCCUAAUACAUGCAAGUAGAACGCUGAAGGAGGAGCUUGCUUCUCUGGAUGAGUUGCGAACGGGUGAGUAACGCGUAGGUAACCUGCCUGGUAGCGGGGGAUAACUAUUGGAAACGAUAGCUAAUACCGCAUAAGAGUAGAUGUUGCAUGACAUUUACUUAAAAGGUGCAAUUGCAUCACUACCAGAUGGACCUGCGUUGUAUUAGCUAGUUGGUGAGGUAACGGCUCACCAAGGCAACGAUACAUAGCCGACCUGAGAGGGUGAUCGGCCACACUGGGACUGAGACACGGCCCAGACUCCUACGGGAGGCAGCAGUAGGGAAUCUUCGGCAAUGGACGGAAGUCUGACCGAGCAACGCCGCGUGAGUGAAGAAGGUUUUCGGAUCGUAAAGCUCUGUUGUAAGAGAAGAACGAGCGUGAGAGUGGAAAGUUCACACUGUGACGGUAUCUUACCAGAAAGGGACGGCUAACUACGUG